Molecule: non-coding RNA, 95 nt
Filed under: Peptococcaceae bacterium
Lineage: Bacteria; Bacillati; Bacillota; Clostridia; Eubacteriales; Peptococcaceae
Description: c-di-GMP sequence
Rfam family: c-di-GMP-I riboswitch aptamer
About the family: GEMM was predicted in a large-scale screen for bacterial structured RNA regulatory elements. Genes associated with GEMM are involved in a diverse array of functions, including chemotaxis regulation, signal transduction, secretion and chitin.
Source: RNAcentral
AUGAAUUAAUGGCAAACUUUGCCGAAAGGAAAGGGCGCAAAGCUACGGGCCUUAUGGGUUGUGACUUUCAAUCCAAUGGCAGCCGGGUUGCCUUG